Molecule: ribosomal RNA, 496 nt
Filed under: Bacteroides fragilis
Lineage: Bacteria; Pseudomonadati; Bacteroidota; Bacteroidia; Bacteroidales; Bacteroidaceae
Description: bacterial SSU rRNA
Rfam family: Bacterial small subunit ribosomal RNA
Source: RNAcentral
ACAAUGAAGAGUUUGAUCCUGGCUCAGGAUGAACGCUAGCUACAGGCUUAACACAUGCAAGUCGAGGGGCAUCAGGAAGAAAGCUUGCUUUCUUUGCCGGCGACCGGCGCACGGGUGAGUAACACGUAUCCAACCUGCCCUUUACUCGGGGAUAGCCUUUCGAAAGAAAGAUUAAUACCCGAUGGCAUAAUGAUUCCGCAUGGUUUCAUUAUUAAAGGAUUCCGGUAAAGGAUGGGGAUGCGUUCCAUUAGGUUGUUGGUGGGGUAACGGCCCACCAAGCCUUCGAUGGAUAGGGGUUCUGAGAGGAAGGUCCCCCACAUUGGAACUGAGACACGGUCCAAACUCCUACGGGAGGCAGCAGUGAGGAAUAUUGGUCAAUGGGCGCUAGCCUGAACCAGCCAAGUAGCGUGAAGGAUGAAGGCUCUAUGGGUCGUAAACUUCUUUUAUAUAAGAAUAAAGUGCAGUAUGUAUACUGUUUUGUAUGUAUUAUAUGAAU